RNAcentral lists this ribosomal RNA (301 nucleotides) under uncultured bacterium. Its description in RNAcentral is "partial 16S ribosomal RNA". It matches the Rfam family "Bacterial small subunit ribosomal RNA", at positions 509 to 807 of the family's 1533-position model. The record is from RNAcentral.
CAGUAGCCGCGGGAAUACGUAGGGUCCGAGCGUUGUCCGGAAUUAUUGGGCGUAAAGGGCUCGUAGGCGGUUUGUCGCGUCGGGAGUGAAAACCAGCAGCUUAACUGCUGGCCUGCUUUCGAUACGGGCAGACUUGAGGCAUUCAGGGGAGAACGGAAUUCCUGGUGUAGCGGUGAAAUGCGCAGAUAUCCGGAGGAACACCGGUGGCGAAGGCGGUUCUCUGGGAAUGUUCUGACGCUGAGGAGCGAAAGUGUGGGGAGCGAACAGGAUUAGAUACCCCAGUAGUCCCUGUCUCUUAUAC